GACCCCGCAGCGACGUGGCUGGAGUAGGGUCUGGAGAGAGCUCUCACUGUGGCGAGUCCUGUCGGUGGAUUCCCGCGGCGCCCCGUGAGGCUCCGCCCCGGCAGUGCCACCAAACCCUGUUCGAUUUUAGAAUCGUACAUUCCCAGAGGGAAUCCUAGACCCCUCAUUUUACAGUUGAGGAAACAGGCCCAAGUAGCAUGACUUGUUCGCGCCGCUAGUCGAAGGAGCAGCAGCCCCGAUCCCUUGACUCCGGGGCGUUGCUUUCCCUUUAGCUCAUUUUUGGAGGAAAUGGGUCAGCCCUUGCUCGACCUUUGGUGAUUGUCGCCACAGGCCUUCCCGCCGGCUAACUCAGUGUGCCCAAGUCCCGUGACUUAGUGCCAGGACGGUGCUGUGACCCGUUAUCCCCUGUCGGAUUUUACCUCCCCCCGGGGGAGCUCAGCCCUGGAUCCCGGCGGGCGGCGGAGCCUCUCUGGAGCCCGGACGGGACAGCCCACCAGGGUCUGCUUCUGUGAGGGGCCGAGGCGUCAUUCCGCGAAGCCUUCUCCUUGCUGUCGCCAUGUGAAGAAGGAUGUGUUUGCUUCCCCUUCUGCCAUGAUUGUAAGUUUCCUGAAGCCUCUCCAGCCAUGCCAAACUGCUCUUCAUUCGAUGGACAAAAACCACAAGAUUAUCUAAAUAGAUGCAGAAAAGGCCUUCGAUAAAAAUCCUCAUUCCUUCAUGUUAAAAACUCUCAAUAAACUAGGUAUUGAUGGAACAUACCUCAAAAUAAUUAGAGCCAUUUAUGACAAACUCACAGCCAGUGUCCUCACUGAAUGGGCAAAAGCUGAAAGCAUUCUCCUUGAAAACCAGCACAGGACAAGUUUGCCCUCUCUCCCAACCCCUAUUCAAUAUAGUAUUGGAAGUUAUGGCCAUGGCAAUUGGGCAAGAGAAAAAAAUGAAGAGUAUUUAAAUGGGAAAAGAGGAAGUCAAACUAUCUUUUUUUGCAGAUGACAUAAUCCUAUAUCUAGAAAACCCAUUAUCUCAACCCAAAAGCUUCUUAAACUUCAGCAAAGUCUCAGGAUAAAAAAUCAAAGUGCAAAAAUUGCUAUACACUAAUAAUAGGCAAGCCAAGAGCCAAAUCAUGAAUGAACUUUGAUUCACAAUUGCCACAAAAAGAAUAAAAUACCUAGGAAUACAGCUAACAAGGGAAGUGAAGGACCUCUUCAAGGAGAACUACAAAGCACUGCUCAAAGAAAUCAGAGAUGAUGCAAACAAAUCGAAAAACGUUCCAUGCUCAUGGAUAGGAAGAAUCAAUAUUAUGUAAAUGGUCAUACUUCCCAAAGCAACUUAUAAAUUCAAUGUUAUUCCCAUUAAAUUACCAUUGACAUUCUUCACAGAAUUAGAAAAAACUAUUUUGAAAUUUAUAUGGAACCAAAAAAGAGCCUGAAUACUGAAAGCAAUCCUUAGCAAAAAGAACAAAAGUAGAGGCAUCAGGCUAGCUGACUUCAAACUAUACUACAGGGCUACAGUAACCAAAGUAGCAUGGUACUGGUACAAAAACAGACACAUAGACCAAUGGAAAAGAAUAGAGAAUCCAGAAAUAAGACUGCACACCUACAACUGUCUCAUCUUUGACAAACCUGACAAAAACAAGCAAUGGAGAAAGGAUUCCCUAUUUAAUAAAUGGUGCUGGGAGAACUAGCUAGCCAUAUGCAGGAUAUUGAAACUGGAACCUUCCUUAUGCCUUAUACAAAAAUCAACUCAAGAUGGAUUAAAGACUUAAAUGUAAAACUCCAAACUAUAAAAACACUAGAAGAAAACCUGGGCAAUACCAUUUAGGAUAUAGGCAUUGGCGAAGAUUUCAUGAUGAAAACACUAAAAGCAAUUGCAACAAAAGCAAAAAUUAGCAAAUGGGCCUAAUUAAACUAAAGAGCUUCUGCACAGCAAAAGGAACUAUCAACAGAGUAAAUAGACAGCCUACAGAAUGGGCGAAAAUUGUUGCAAUCUAUGUAUCUGACAAAGGCCUAAUAUCCAGAAUCUAUAAGGAACUUAAACAAAUUUACAAAAAAAAAGCAACCCCAUUAAAAAAUGGGCAAAGGACAUGAACAGACACUUCUCAAAAGAAGACAUACAUAUGGCUAACAAACAUGAAAAAAGCCUUCACAUCACUAAUUAUUAGAUAAAUGCAAAUCAAAACCACAAUGAGAUACCAUCUCACAUCAUUCAGGAUGGCGAUUAUUAAAAAGUCAAAAAAUGACAGAUGCUGAUGAGGAUGUGAAGAAAAAGGAACACUUUAAUACUAUUGGUGGGAGUGUAAAUUAGUUCAACCAUUGUGGAAAACAGUCUGGUGAUUCCUCAAAGACAAAGAGGCAGAAAUACCAUUCUACCCAGCAAUCUCAUUACUGGUUAUAUACUCAAAGGAAUAUAAAUCAUUUUCUUAUAAAGACACAUGCACAUAUAUGUUUAUUGCAGCACUAUUUACAAUAGCAGACAUAGAAUCAACCUAAAUGCCCAUCAGUGAUAGACUGGAUAAAGAAAAUGUACAUAUACAACAUGGAAUACUAUGCAGCCAUAAAAAGGAAUCAGGUCACGUGCUUCGCAGGGACAUGGAUGGAGCUGGAGGCCAUCAUCCUUAGCAAACUUACACAGGAACAGAAAACCAAAUACUGCAUGUUCUCACUUACAAGUGGGAGCUAAAUGAUGAGAAUACAUGGACACAUGGUGGGGAACAACACACACUGGGGCCUGUUGGAGAGUAGGGAGUGGGAGGAGGGAGAGGAUCAGGAAGAAUAACUAUUGGAUAAUGGGCUUAAUACCUGGGUGAUAGGAUGAUCUGUGUAGCAAACCACCAUGGCACACAUUUACCUAUGUAACAAACCUGCAUAUCCUGCACAUGUAUCCCUGAACUUAAAAGUUGGAAAUAAAAAAAAAAAGAGUGAUUAUGUCAGGGACUAGGUGGUAGCUGUGGAGAUGAUGAAAAGUGGUCAGAGUCUAGAUGUAUUUUGAAGGUGGGCUUGAUUGGCUGGUGGAUUAGAUGUGAAGGAUGAGAGAAGAAAAAGUACUAGGAUGACUCCAGAGUUUUUUCCUUGAGCAAGAAAAAAGGAUGAAUGCCAUUUACCGAGAUUAUAGAAAAUAGCCAGUCUGUUUAUUCUUACACUAUCAAUUGACACAACUUCCAGUUAAGUUCAUUUUAUUUUCUGAAAGUUACAGGAGAAGACUUUACUGGUUAUGACCUUAUAUUGCUUUAAUGGUCAUCUAUAGCCAAAAUCAUGGACAUAAAUUCUAGGGAGGGUUCCUGGUAAGCCUCCUAUUCCUGUUAUGAGAAGAAACCAGCAUGCCCAUGCUUCCCAGCAGCAUACUGUAAUUGCUAAGUGUCAGUGAUGAUGUCAGUUUUAGUGUCUCAGUAACAGUUGUUAGAGUAAGGAAGGAAGGAAGGAAGGAAGAGGAUGAAAAUAAAGAACGAAAAGUUAGAAACUAUGUAGUCCCAGCCUCUAGAAGCCAGAGGCAUGGUCUACUUAGGGUCCUCUUGAGACAGGUGAAGACUUUUCAGUGUCACAAAAUUAAUAUCACAAAGUGAUGUUAUGUUAGUAUUAUGACAUCAAAAUGUGUGGGCAGGCUGGGCGCAGUGGCUCACGCCUGUAAUCCCAGCACUUUGGGAGUCUGAGGCAGGUGGAUCACCUGAGGUCAGGAGUUCGAGACCAGCCUGGCCAACAUGGGGAAACUCCGUCUCUACUAAAAAUACAAAAUUAGUGGGGCAUGGUGGAGCAAGCCUGUAAUCCCAGCUACUGGGAAGGCUGAGGCAGGAGAAUCGCUUGAAUCCAGGAGGAGGAGGUUGCAGUGAGCCGAGAUCGUGCCAUCGCACUCCAGUCUGGGCAACAAGAGCGAAACUCCAUCUCAAAAAAAAACAAAUAAAUAAAUAAAAUAAUAAUAAUAAUAAUAAUAAUAAUAAUAAUAAUAAUAAUGUGUGGGCAGAUGUCAGCUACACCAUAGUUUCAGAAUGCAAUAAAUUCACAUUUAAAAACCUUGAAGUACACUGUAUCAAAACUUUACUUCAUCUUUCAUUCUUAUGUGAUUCAGUUGAUAGGCUAGAAGGACAAUGAAAGUGAGUUCCAUCAUGCCGCCUGGUGUCUGUGUCCUUAGAUAAAGACUGAGUGUAUUUGCAAACUCUCCGUUAAUGACAGCAUUUUUUUUUACUCUGAGCUUUAUUGAGGUAUAAUUGACAUACAAAAAUUGUACAUAUUUAAGGUGUAUAAUGUAAUGUUUUGAUAUACAUAUACAUUCUGAAAUGAUUACCAAAAUCAAGAUAAUUAACACAUCCAUCACCUCAUAGUUAUCUAUUUAGCAAAUCCUUUACUAGGUGGCAAAAUUGAUUUUAAAAUCACAUUUUUAUCCCCUUGAAAUUUUUUCAUCUGUAAAUUUUCAAGGGCAGUCUUUUAAUAGAAUACAAACAGCUCAUUCCUUCUGUGGCUCCAAGCUGGCACUUCAGCAUUGGGUUUAAAUUUUAGAGCAACAUAUGAAAAUCUCCUGAAUAAACUUGUCAAUGAUUACGGUCAUCAAAACGUAGUAUGAUCAAGGAAACUGGUUUUUGCAUAAUAUUCUGAAUAUUCUGAAUAUUCAACUCCACUGAGCUUGAAUAAAUGAAGUAUAAAUUAAACAUAUCGAUUUUUUUCUUUUGGUACAUGGUCUAUGUUAUUGCAG
Long non-coding RNA from Pongo pygmaeus (Bornean orangutan), 4674 nucleotides. RefSeq lists it as uncharacterized. The record is from RefSeq and is a predicted model, not a curated record. The transcript has 3 exons. NCBI's taxonomy places the organism in Eukaryota, Metazoa, Chordata, Mammalia, Primates, Hominidae.